Molecule: ribosomal RNA, 3124 nt
Filed under: Streptomyces phaeochromogenes
Lineage: Bacteria; Bacillati; Actinomycetota; Actinomycetes; Kitasatosporales; Streptomycetaceae
Description: 23S ribosomal RNA
Rfam family: Bacterial large subunit ribosomal RNA
Source: RNAcentral
GGCCAAGUUUUUAAGGGCGCACGGUGGAUGCCUUGGUACCAGGAACCGAUGAAGGACGUGGGAGGCCACGAUAGUCCCCGGGGAGCCGUCAACCAGGCUUUGAUCCGGGGGUUUCCGAAUGGGGAAACCCGGCAGUCGUCAUGGGCUGUCACCCACAUCUGAACACAUAGGGUGUGUGGAGGGAACGCGGGGAAGUGAAACAUCUCAGUACCCGCAGGAAGAGAAAACAACCGUGAUUCCGGGAGUAGUGGCGAGCGAAACCGGAUGAGGCCAAACCGUAUACGUGUGAGACCCGGCAGGGGUUGCGUGUACGGGGUUGUGGGAUCUCUCUUUCACAGUCUGCCGGCUGUGAGACGAGUCAGAAACCGUUGGUGUAGGCGAAGGACAUGCGAAAGGUCCGGCGUAGAGGGUAAGACCCCCGUAGUCGAAACAUCAACGGCUCGUUUGAGAGACACCCAAGUAGCACGGGGCCCGAGAAAUCCCGUGUGAAUCUGGCGGGACCACCCGCUAAGCCUAAAUAUUCCCUGGUGACCGAUAGCGGAUAGUACCGUGAGGGAAUGGUGAAAAGUACCGCGGGAGCGGAGUGAAAUAGUACCUGAAACCGUGUGCCUACAAGCCGUGGGAGCGUCGCUGUAUGUGCUUGCACAUACAGUCGUGACUGCGUGCCUUUUGAAGAAUGAGCCUGCGAGUUUGCGGUGUGUUGCGAGGUUAACCCGUGUGGGGAAGCCGUAGCGAAAGCGAGUCCGAACAGGGCGAUUCAGUAGCGCGCUCAAGACCCGAAGCGGAGUGAUCUAGCCAUGGGCAGGUUGAAGCGGCUGUAAGAGGUCGUGGAGGACCGAACCCACCAGGGUUGAAAACCUGGGGGAUGACCUGUGGUUAGGGGUGAAAGGCCAAUCAAACUCCGUGAUAGCUGGUUCUCCCCGAAAUGCAUUUAGGUGCAGCGUCGUGUGUUUCUUGCCGGAGGUAGAGCACUGGAUAGGCGAUGGGCCCUACCGGGUUACUGACCUUAGCCAAACUCCGAAUGCCGGUAAGUGAGAGCACGGCAGUGAGACUGUGGGGGAUAAGCUCCAUGGUCGAGAGGGAAACAGCCCAGAGCAUCGACUAAGGCCCCUAAGCGUACGCUAAGUGGGAAAGGAUGUGGAGUCGCAGAGACAACCAGGAGGUUGGCUUAGAAGCAGCCACCCUUGAAAGAGUGCGUAAUAGCUCACUGGUCUAGUGAUUCCGCGCCGACAAUGUAGCGGGGCUCAAGCGUACCGCCGAAGUCGUGUCAUUUCAGCAUAUAGGGCCAACGCCCGCUGGGAUGGGUAGGGGAGCGUCGUGUGCCGGGUGAAGCCGCAGCGGAAGCUAGUGGUGGACGGUUCACGAGUGAGAAUGCAGGCAUGAGUAGCGAUACACACGUGAGAAACGUGUGCGCCGAUUGACUAAGGGUUCCUGGGUCAAGCUGAUCUGCCCAGGGUAAGUCGGGACCUAAGGCGAGGCCGACAGGCGUAGUCGAUGGAUAACCGGUUGAUAUUCCGGUACCCGCUGUGAAGCGUCAAACAGUGAACCAGGCGAUGCUAAGUCCGUGAAGCCGCCCUGGAGCCUUCGGGCAAAGGGGAGUGGUGGAGCCGACGGACCAGACCUGUAGUAGGUGAGUGAUGGGGUGACGCAGGAAGGUAGUCCAGCCCGGGCGGUGGUUGUCCCGGGGUAAGGGUGUAGGCCGUGUGACAGGUAAAUCCGUCGCACAUUAAGGCUGAGACCUGAUGCCGAGCCGAUUGUGGUGAAGUGGAUGAUCCUAUGCUGUCGAGAAAAGCCUCUAGCGAGUUUCAUGGCGGCCCGUACCCUAAACCGACUCAGGUGGUCAGGUAGAGAAUACCGAGGCGUUCGGGUGAACUAUGGUUAAGGAACUCGGCAAAAUGCCCCCGUAACUUCGGGAGAAGGGGGGCCAUCACUGGUGAUCCGUUUUACACGGUGAGCUGGGGGUGGCCGCAGAGACCAGCGAGAAGCGACUGUUUACUAAAAACACAGGUCCGUGCGAAGCCGUAAGGCGAUGUAUACGGACUGACGCCUGCCCGGUGCUGGAACGUUAAGGGGACCGGUUAGUGCACUUUCGGGUGUGCGAAGCUGAGAACUUAAGCGCCAGUAAACGGCGGUGGUAACUAUAACCAUCCUAAGGUAGCGAAAUUCCUUGUCGGGUAAGUUCCGACCUGCACGAAUGGCGUAACGACUUCUCGACUGUCUCAACCAUAGGCCCGGUGAAAUUGCACUACGAGUAAAGAUGCUCGUUUCGCGCAGCAGGACGGAAAGACCCCGGGACCUUUACUACAGUUUGAUAUUGGUGUUCGGUUCGGCUUGUGUAGGAUAGCUGGGAGACUGUGAAGUCAUGGCGCCAGCCAUGGUGGAGUCGUCGUUGAAAUACCAGUCUGGUCGUGCUGGAUGUCUAACCUGGGUCCGUGAUCCGGAUCAGGGACAGUGUCUGAUGGGUAGUUUAACUGGGGCGGUUGCCUCCUAAAGAGUAACGGAGGCGCCCAAAGGUUCCCUCAGCCUGGUUGGCAAUCAGGUGUUGAGUGUAAGUGCACAAGGGAGCUUGACUGUGAGACCGACGGGUCGAGCAGGGACGAAAGUCGGGACUAGUGAUCCGGCGGUGGCUUGUGGAAGCGCCGUCGCUCAACGGAUAAAAGGUACCCCGGGGAUAACAGGCUGAUCUUCCCCAAGAGUCCAUAUCGACGGGAUGGUUUGGCACCUCGAUGUCGGCUCGUCGCAUCCUGGGGCUGGAGUCGGUCCCAAGGGUUGGGCUGUUCGCCCAUUAAAGCGGUACGCGAGCUGGGUUUAGAACGUCGUGAGACAGUUCGGUCCCUAUCCGCUGUGCGCGUAGGAAUAUUGAGAAGGGCUGUCCCUAGUACGAGAGGACCGGGACGGACGAACCUCUGGUGUGCCAGUUGUCCUGCCAAGGGCAUGGCUGGUUGGCUACGUUCGGGAGGGAUAACCGCUGAAAGCAUCUAAGCGGGAAGCCUGCUUCGAGAUGAGUAUUCCCACCAACUAGAUUGGUUAAGGCUCCCAGUAGACGACUGGGUUGAUAGGCCGGAUGUGGAAGCCUCGUAAGGGGUGAAGCUGACCGGUACUAAUAGGCCGAGGGCUUGUCCUC